RNAcentral lists this long non-coding RNA (1869 nucleotides) under Calidris pygmaea (Spoon-billed sandpiper). Its description in RNAcentral is "lncRNA (ENSCPGG00000015980.1)". Lineage: Eukaryota; Metazoa; Chordata; Aves; Charadriiformes; Scolopacidae. The record is from RNAcentral.
GGGGCUGCUCCUGGGGGCCUCCACGGGCGAAGCGGAGCCGGGCAGGCCCUUAGGCCGCGCUUUGCCGCGGGAGCCGGUGCUCCCCCCGCCGCCGUUUGGCGGAGGGGGGGGGACGUGCCCCUGUUCCCGGGGCCGCCCCGGUGAGAGCCGCCUGCUCGGCCCUCCCGGCCCCGUUCUGCCGCCCCUUUCCACGCUGUUUACCCUCUCCCCGGCGUCCCCGGCAGCCCCAUAUUUUAUCACCGUUAGUUUCUAUUUUUAAUUGUCAUUUUUUUAUUUUUUUUGGAAAGAAGCGGAGGGAAAGGGGAGAGAGUUCCCCCCGCGACACCCCAGGCCAGCAGCCAGGGAUCCACCGGCCCGACCCGGGGCCGGGGUGGUUGCCCGGUGCCGGCCCGGGGGUGUCUCCGGGGCGCGGGGAAGGCGGCGGUGCCCGGCCCCGGCCCCGCUCCGCGCUGCCCGCCCUGGCGGCUCCCCCGCCGGCGGUCAAUGCGGCGCGAUCGGCCGAGCCAUCUCCAUCACCCGUUAUUGACACGUCCAGCGACUUGAAACUCAGAAAAAGCCACUUUGAUUGACUCGGGUGAUUGAUGGAGUGAUAGAGCUGUCAGACGGCGCGGCCCUCGCUCCCGGCCGGCCCGGCCACGGGUGUUUUGCUACCGAUUCCCAGGGCCGCCGUGCGCCAAGGCGUUUUGCACUUGCGCCUUUUAUUUCUUUUCCUCCCCUUUUCUUCGGGCAGACGAUUAUUUCUGCACGUCCUCCCCCGAAAGCUCCCAGCUCGGAAGGGGAGAAGGGCGAGGGGAGGCUCGGAUCGGCUCGGCCGCUCUCUUUGUUGUGCUCCGAGCUGCCCGCCGGCCCCGGCUGUUUCCUCCCCGGCUCCGGGGACGAGAGAGUUGCGGCGGUCGGAGGCGCCGGCACCCCGCUGCAAGGUGCCGCGGUAGAAGCGAUCCGCUCCCCGCGCCCUCUGCCCCUCCGCCGGCCGAGCAUGGGAGCAUCCCGCCGGGCCCCGUCCUUCUCCCCGCCGGCAGCCGCCGCCGAGCCGCGGGGAACCCCCCCUCUUUCUUCCCCCCCCCCCCCCCCCUCAUUCCGGGGAAAGGCUGCGCCGGGAGAGGAGCAUUCGGCCUACUCGGCGGCCGGGAGGCCUCGCCGGCUGCGGCUGCUGCUGGCGGGGGGCUACGGGCCCGGGGGCCGCCCGCCGUGCCCGGCAGCUGUCGGGGGAUUUUGGCAGAUCCCUUUCUCCAGGGCUGCCUCCCCUCUCCACUCCCCCAGGGCUGGGUCGGACCGGAGUGUAGAGAACCGGGGGUAGCCCCCCGACCGGGUGCUGUCCCCUGGAUGCGCCCCGUGGGGGGAACCGGGCUACUAUCCCCGGUGAGCCCUGUGGCACUUCACCUGGCCCCAUCUUGGCCUGGGGAUGGGGCGGAGGAGGGAGCACUGCCUUCGGCGGGGGUUCAUGGAGGGAGCUGCAGGGAGGGCCGGAGGUCCUCGGCAAGGAUCGGCCGCCGGAGAGCCCGGGUGGCGGCGGGGAUCCGGGGUGGUGGCGGAGAACGGCCCCCCUGGGGCUGGGCCGGCUUUGCAGAGGGGUCUGUUGCCCCCUCGAAAGAGACCGGGGCAGCCCCCGGGCUGGGUGCUGCUGCCGGCGGCUCCCCGGUGCCAGGCCGCGGGGACCCUCGCCCCCCGCACUGCCCGGCCGAGCCGCCGCCCGGACGGCGGGUCCUGGGCCCGGGUUGGGCGGAGGGAAACGCGGCUCGUCCCGGCGGAGCGGCGCCCCGACGUGUGUCGGGGCGGGGGGCGAGCGGGGCCGCCGCUCCCCUCCCUCGGCGGGGGGAUGCGAGGGGCGGCUCGGCCCCGGGCCUCCCCUCUCCUUCCCCGGGCUUCCCU